GACGAACGCUGGCGGCGUACCUAAUACAUGCAAGUAGAACGCUGAAGGAGGAGCUUGCUUCUCUGGAUGAGUUGCGAACGGGUGAGUAACGCGUAGGUAACCUGCCUGGUAGCGGGGGAUAACUAUUGGAAACGAUAGCUAAUACCGCAUAAGAGUAGAUGUUGCAUGACAUUUGCUUAAAAGGUGCAAUUGCAUCACUACCAGAUGGACCUGCGUUGUAUUAGCUAGUUGGUGGGGUAACGGCUCACCAAGGCGACGAUACAUAGCCGACCUGAGAGGGUGAUCGGCCACACUGGGACUGAGACACGGCCCAGACUCCUACGGGAGGCAGCAGUAGGGAAUCUUCGGCAAUGGACGGAAGUCUGACCGAGCAACGCCGCGUGAGUGAAGAAGGUUUUCGGAUCGUAAAGCUCUGUUGUAAGAGAAGAACGAGUGUGAGAGUGGAAAGUUCACACUGUGACGGUAUCUUACCAGAAAGGGACGGCUAACUACGUGCCUGCAGCCGCGGUAAUACGUAGGUGGCAAGCGUUAUCCGGAUUUAUUGGGCGUAAAGAGAGUGCAGGCGGUUUUCUAAGUCUGAUGUGAAAGCCUUCGGCUUAACCGGAGAAGUGCAUCGGAAACUGGAUAACUUGAGUGCAGAAGAGGGUAGUGGAACUCCAUGUGUAGCGGUGGAAUGCGUAGAUAUAUGGAAGAACACCAGUGGCGAAGGCGGCUCUCUGGUCUGUAACUGACGCUGAGGCUCGAAAGCGUGGGGAGCGAACAGG
This 764-nucleotide ribosomal RNA is filed under the name uncultured Streptococcus sp. RNAcentral's name for it is "bacterial SSU rRNA". It matches the Rfam family "Bacterial small subunit ribosomal RNA", at positions 28 to 776 of the family's 1533-position model. Lineage: Bacteria; Bacillati; Bacillota; Bacilli; Lactobacillales; Streptococcaceae. The record is from RNAcentral.